Molecule: ribosomal RNA, 253 nt
Filed under: uncultured prokaryote
Description: partial 16S ribosomal RNA
Rfam family: Bacterial small subunit ribosomal RNA
Source: RNAcentral
UACGGAGGAUCCGAGCGUUAUCCGGAUUUAUUGGGUUUAAAGGGUGCGUAGGCGGCCUAUUAAGUCAGGGGUGAAAGACGGUAGCUUAACUAUCGCAGUGCCUUUGAUACUGAUGGGCUUGAAUGUACUUGAGGUAGGCGGAAUGUGACAAGUAGCGGUGAAAUGCAUAGAUAUGUCACAGAACACCAAUUGCGAAGGCAGCUUACUAUGGUUUUAUUGACACUGAGGCGCGAAAGCGUGGGGAUCAAACAGG